AAGGGUGCGUAACACGUGGGCAAUCUACCGAGAAGUGGGGGAUAGCUCGCCGAAAGGCGAAUUAAUACCGCAUAUGACCCUGGGUAACCUUACCUGGGCGUCAAAGCCGGGGCAACCUGGCGCUUCCUGAUGAGCCCGCGGCCUAUCAGCUAGUUGGUGAGGUAACGGCUCACCAAGGCUAUGACGGGUAGCUGGUCUGAGAGGACGACCAGCCACACUGGAACUGAGACACGGUCCAGACACCUACGGGUGGCAGCAGUCGAGAAUUUUUCACAAUGGGGGAAACCCUGAUGGAGCGACGCCGCGUGGAGGAUGAAGGUCUUCGGAUUGUAAACUCCUGUCAUUGGUGAACAAGAUCGGCCGGGUAACUCCGUUGCCGGUUUGCUAGUAGCCGAAGAGGAAGGGACGGCUAACUCUGUGCCAGCAGCCGCGGUAAUACAGAGGUCCCGAGCGUUGUUCGGAUUUAUUGGGCGUAAAGGGUGCGUAGGCGGCGGAGUAAGUUGGGUGUGAAAUCCCGGGGCUUAACCUCGGAAUUGCAUUCAAUACUGCUUCGCUCGAGUACUGGAGAGGAGGCUGGAAU
Molecule: ribosomal RNA, 580 nt
Filed under: uncultured bacterium
Lineage: Bacteria
Description: bacterial SSU rRNA
Rfam family: Bacterial small subunit ribosomal RNA
Source: RNAcentral